GUCCUCUGCCACGGCUUAAAACCAUGUUCUCUCGUCUUGCCACUUGUUACCCAGGAGCAGAGCCCAACUCACACCUGGCUGCACCAGAAAUAUCAAAUCUUCAUGCAAGAAUUGUUGACAUCAUGUACAAACUCAAAAUAAAACAAUAACUUCGUGUAGUAGAUGCUGUUUUUAAAAAAACAGUGUUUCCACUUUCAGAGAGUUCUUACCUUACAAAGAUGGGAGACAGAAGAGUAGAAAUUAAGACAGAGAGAUGGACGAUACAUAUCAUAAGUUUUCAUAUAGCACUAUGGAAAAGCAGCAGAAAGCCAAGCAGAUAAUGAAAGGCUGACACAAUGGGUUUGCAGCCCAAAGGCACAGCUUCAGGUUAUUUUUUUCUAUUAGUGCUUCUGUUCCACUGCUUUAAUUAAGUGUUGAGUACAAGUCACGCCUUGGGCUCUGCAGAUACACACCAGCACAGGAGGUUCCCAAAAAGGAUUUUGUCUCAAGGAGGUUGGAUCCUGUUGCAUUCUUCUGGGGAUCCACUGAAGAGAGGAAUGGUCCCUCCAAACAUGCCAGUGGUGAACAAGUCAUCUCCCACAAAGCCAUCCUAUGCAGCACAUCCAGGAGGAGCAACAGGAUGGGGAAUAAUGGACCCAAAGCCUCCUAAAGGCAAAGAUCACGAGCUGUUGAAUGCCUUAAUAUUACUGACUGAUUAAGACUGUACCACGACAGUCCACAAACCAAGUGAAGGCCAAGGAGAUGGAAAAUCCCUCUGACCUAAUUGCAGGCUUCAGCAGUGGCAAAAGCUCAACAGUCACAUCCCAAUAAAACAAAAGCUGGCCAGAAAUGGACUUUCCCAGCUUGGCACUUGUCUUAGAAUCACACCCAAGAGACAACACUAUUUAUUUCUGUUCAUUUUCUUACAGUUUCUAGUUUGGCACUUUACUUGCAGGUAAAGUCACGUUGCGGGUGAUUUUUCUCUGAAGUACUUCUCUUGUAAAGUGAGCUUUACAAGUGAGUGAAGAUAUUAAAUAUUUGUCUACAGGAAAGAAAGGCUUUCACAAGUAAACCUAACUUACAGUAUAAUCUUCAUCCAAUAAAGCUGUAUUAGAUCAAACAGUA
Vidua chalybeata is the source of this 1104-nucleotide long non-coding RNA. RefSeq lists it as uncharacterized. The record is from RefSeq and is a predicted model, not a curated record. The transcript is spliced from 7 exons. NCBI's taxonomy places the organism in Eukaryota, Metazoa, Chordata, Aves, Passeriformes, Viduidae.